AUUCCAGCUCCAAUAGCGUAUAUUAAAGUUGUUGCAGUUAAAAAGCUCGUAGUUGGAUUUCUGGCCGAGUGUCCCCAGGCCAGCAUGACGUUUGGUCCUGGGCGCUCUGCCAUCCUUCUGUCAACCUUCGCCUCGUUCAUUCGUGGCGCUGGGGCUCAGAUAUUUUACCUUGAGAAAAUUAGAGUGUUUCAGGCAGGCUUUCGCCGGAAUACAUUAGCAUGGAAUAAUGGAAAAGGACUUCAACCUCUUCUGUUGGUCUGAGAGGCUGUAGUAAUGAUUAAUAGGGAUAGUUAGGGGCAUUAGUACUUAACUGUCGGAGGUGAAAUUCUCCGAUUUGUUAAAGACUAACUUAUGCGAAAGCAUUUGCCAAGGAUGUUUUCAUUA
RNAcentral lists this ribosomal RNA (384 nucleotides) under Leegaardiella sp. RNAcentral describes it as "partial small subunit ribosomal RNA". It matches the Rfam family "Eukaryotic small subunit ribosomal RNA", at positions 582 to 975 of the family's 1831-position model. The record is from RNAcentral. Lineage: Eukaryota; Ciliophora; Spirotrichea; Choreotrichida; Leegaardiellidae.